CACGUAGGAGGCGAGCGUUGUCCGGAAUCAUUGGGCGUAAAGAGCGCGCAGGCGGCUUGGCAAGUCGGGUGUGAAAUCCCGGGGCUCAACCCCGGGACUGCAUUCGAUACUGUCGGGCUAGAGGUAGGUAGGGGAGAUCGGAAUUCCUGGUGUAGCGGUGAAAUGCGCAGAUAUCAGGAGGAACACCGGUGGCGAAGGCGGAUCUCUGGGCCUUACCUGACGCUCAGGCGCGAAGGCUAGGGGAGCGAACAGG
RNAcentral lists this ribosomal RNA (253 nucleotides) under uncultured bacterium. RNAcentral describes it as "partial 16S ribosomal RNA". It matches the Rfam family "Bacterial small subunit ribosomal RNA", at positions 524 to 776 of the family's 1533-position model. The record is from RNAcentral.